Molecule: ribosomal RNA, 253 nt
Filed under: uncultured bacterium
Lineage: Bacteria
Description: partial 16S ribosomal RNA
Rfam family: Bacterial small subunit ribosomal RNA
Source: RNAcentral
UACGUAGGUGGCGAGCGUUGUCCGGAUUUACUGGGCGUAAAGGGAGCGUAGGCGGACUUUUAAGUGAGAUGUGAAAUACUCGGGCUCAACUUGAGUGCUGCAUUUCAAACUGGAAGCCUAGAGUGCAGGAGAGGAGAAUGGAAUUCCUAGUGUAGCGGUGAAAUGCGUAGAGAUUAGGAAGAACACCAGUGGCGAAGGCGAUUCUCUGGACUGUAACUGACGCUGAGGCUCGAAAGCGUGGGGAGCAAACAGG